UAGAGUUUGAUCCUGGCUCAGGGAUGAACGCUGGCGGCGUGCCUAACACAUGCAAGUCGAACGGUCUCCUUCGGGAGAUAGUGGCGCACGGGUGAGUAACACGUGGUUGACCUACCUCAAAGUCAGGGAUAACGUUCCGAAAGGAAUGCUAAUACCUUAUAAGCUCCCGGUGCUUAGAAAACUGGGAGAAAAGCUCCGGCGCUUUGAGAGGGGACUGCGCGUCAUCAGCUAGUUGGUAAGGUAACGGCUUACCAAGGCAACGACGACUAGGGGGCCUGAGAGGGUGACCCCCCACACUGGAACUGAGACACGGUCCAGACUCCUACGGGAGGCAGCAGUGAGGAAUAUUGCACAAUGGGCGCAAGCCUGAUGCAGCGACGCCGCGUGAGUGAUGAAGGCCUUCGGGUCGUAAAGCUCUUUUCUAGGUGACGAGAACGGACGGUAGCCUAGGAAUAAGUGUCGGCUAACUACGUGCCAGCAGCCGCGGUAAAACGUAGGACACAAGCGUUAUCCGGAGUUACUGGGCGUAAAGGGCGUGUAGGCGGAUUGGUAAGUCUGCUCUGAAAGCUCCUGGCUAAACUGGGAGAGGCGAGCGGAGACUGUCAGUCUAAGUGAGGAAAGAGAGAAGUGGAAUUCCGCGUGUAGUGGUGAAAUGCGUAGAGAUGCGGAGGAACACCAGUGGCGAAAAGCGGCUUCUUGGUCCUUAACUUGACGCUGAGGCGCGAAAGCAUGGGGAGCGAACGGGAUUAGAAAACCCCGGUAGUCCAUGCCCGUAAACGAUGUUCACCUUAAACGUUCGUUUCCCCGCGAGGGAAGCGGGUGUUGAAGCUAACGCAGUAAGUGAACCGCCUGGGGAGUACGGUCGCAAGGCUAAAACUCAAAGGAAUUGACGGGGGACCGCACAAGCAGCGGAGCGUGUGGUUUAAUUCGAGGCUACACGAAGAACCUUACCUAGGUUUGACAUCUUACUGAAGCCUGUGUGAAAGCAUGGGUGUCCCGCAAGGGACAGUAGGACAGGUGCUGCAUGGCUGUCGUCAGCUCGUGCCGUGAGGUGCUCGGUUAAGUCCGCAAACGAGCGCAACCCUCGGUGCCAGUCACAAGUGUCUGGCGCGACUGCCCGUGGCAAACGGGAGGAAGGUGGGGAUGACGUCAAGUCAGCAUGGCCUUUAUAUCUAGGGCGACACACACGCUACAAUGGCGUAUACAAUGGGUCGCGAAGCCGCGAGGUGGAGCCAAUCCUAAAAAGUACGUCUCAGUUCAGAUUGCAGGCUGCAACCCGCCUGCAUGAAGUUGGAGUUGCUAGUAACCGCGCGUCAGCAGAGUGCGGUGAAUACGUUCCCGGUCCUUGUACACACCGCCCGUCACGUCAUGAGAGCUGGUGACGCCUGAAGUCGGGAAGCUAACCGCAAGGGGGCUACUGCCGAGGGCAGCACUGGUGAUUGGGACGAAGUCGUAACAAGGUAGCUGUAGCGGAAGCUGCGGCUGGAUCACCUCC
Molecule: ribosomal RNA, 1495 nt
Filed under: uncultured bacterium
Lineage: Bacteria
Description: bacterial SSU rRNA
Rfam family: Bacterial small subunit ribosomal RNA
Source: RNAcentral